GAGAUGAAAACGAGUAUGAUCAAAUUACUAACCCAAUCACUUUGACCGAGUCAGAUAAGGUAUGCUAUUUAACAGGCAGUCUUUUAGGAGAGGACAUCAGUUGCUCCUGUUUACCACGGACACAAGAAAGAACUCCAAAAACCUUCAAACAAGAUCGAAUUAAAUCGAAGCCAUCAUGUCUGCUCAACGAUUCCUUUUCCUGGUUGCCGUUGCUUCAUUGUUUGUAGCUUCACUAGCAGUUCCAGCGGAACUGUCUCCAGCGGAACUGUCUAAGCGUGACGGCGCACCUUGCAAAUGUGGUAGUACAGGCGGUAUCUACUGGUUUGGUCGCAACUCCUGUCCAGGUGGAUACGGAUAUACAAGGUCUUGCUGGUAUUUUGCUGGCAGAUGUUGCACUCCUGCUUAAACCAUUACACUGCAAUCAGUCGUUAGAAAAGUCAAAAUGUAAUGUUAAAUGUAGUUUGAUUCAAAUCAAAAUCAAUUGAUUGAAUAAAGUCAAUACCUUAAAUCCAA
This is a long non-coding RNA of Actinia tenebrosa (Australian red waratah sea anemone), 513 nucleotides long. The record is from RefSeq and is a predicted model, not a curated record. Lineage: Eukaryota; Metazoa; Cnidaria; Anthozoa; Actiniaria; Actiniidae.